Molecule: transfer RNA, 69 nt
Filed under: Podarcis lilfordi (Lilford's wall lizard)
Lineage: Eukaryota; Metazoa; Chordata; Lepidosauria; Squamata; Lacertidae
Description: tRNA.Ala
Rfam family: tRNA
About the family: Transfer RNA (tRNA) molecules are approximately 80 nucleotides in length. Their secondary structure includes four short double-helical elements and three loops (D, anti-codon, and T loops).
Source: RNAcentral
GCCGUAGCUCAAUAGCAGAGCAUCUGCUUUGCAUGCAGAAGGUCCUAGGUUCAAUCCCCGGCACCUCCA